This 253-nucleotide ribosomal RNA is filed under the name uncultured bacterium. RNAcentral describes it as "partial 16S ribosomal RNA". It matches the Rfam family "Bacterial small subunit ribosomal RNA", at positions 524 to 776 of the family's 1533-position model. The record is from RNAcentral.
UACGGGGGGGGCAAGCGUUGUUCGGAAUUACUGGGCGUAAAGGGUUUGUAGGUGGCUUGCUAAGUCAGACGUGAAAUCCCUCAGCUUAACUGAGGAACUGCGCCUGAGACUGGCAAGCUUGAGUGCAGGAGAGGAACGCGGAAUUCCAGGUGUAGCGGUGAAAUGCGUAGAUAUCUGGAGGAACACCGGUGGCGAAGGCGGCGUUCUGGACUGUAACUGACACUGAUGAACGAAAGCCAGGGGAGCAAACGGG